CCUACGGGCGGCGGCAGUGAGGAAUAUUGGUCAAUGGACGAGAGUCUGAACCAGCCAAGUAGCGUGAAGGAUGACUGCCCUAUGGGUUGUAAACUUCUUUUAUAUGGGAAUAAAAUGUUCCACGUGUGGGAUUUUGUAUGUACCAUAUGAAUAAGGAUCGGCUAACUCCGUGCCAGCAGCCGCGGUAAUACGGAGGAUCCGAGCGUUAUCCGGAUUUAUUGGGUUUAAAGGGAGCGUAGGUGGAUUGUUAAGUCAGUUGUGAAAGUUUGCGGCUCAACCGUAAAAUUGCAGUUGAAACUGGCAGUCUUGAGUACAGUAGAGGUGGGCGGAAUUCGUGGUGUAGCGGUGAAAUGCUUAGAUAUCACGAAGAACUCCGAUUGCGAAGGCAGUUCACUGGACUGCAACUGACACUGAGGCUCGAAAGUGUGGGUAUCAAACAGGAUUAGAUACCCGUGUAGUC
This 460-nucleotide ribosomal RNA is filed under the name uncultured bacterium. RNAcentral's name for it is "partial 16S ribosomal RNA". It matches the Rfam family "Bacterial small subunit ribosomal RNA", at positions 338 to 795 of the family's 1533-position model. The record is from RNAcentral.